GAGACAUGGCUCGCAUUAUUACUCUUUGGCUGGCAUGCACAGCUCUAGCUGUGAGUUGUGCUGAGGAGCCAGACCCACAGAGGGAGUUUCCACAGUCUAAGAGGACAGGACAAGAAAGAGCUCAACAUGGUCUUUUUAUAGCUGCCAACUUAGAUGAAACUGAAGGCAUGAAACCUGGAUUGAGGGACUCACGGUCUCAUUCAAGUUGGGCCUCAUCAUCUAAACAAAGACCAAGACAGUUAGAAUUAGAGCUGAAAGUGAGACGUAAAUAUAUGAAUAAAGGGAAGCCUGAACCAGAUUGUGAAGAAUGUAGAUCAACUCUAAAGAAAGUUAAAGACUCAGCGGGUAAAAACAAGAACAAAAUCAAACUGGGAAUUGAAUCUGCGUGUAAAGGUGGGACGAUCAAGUGCUGUAAGACGCUUCGUGAUAAUAAAAGUCUAAUAGCUGAUAAUAUCAGUGAUGGCAAAAUGCCACUGGAAAUAUGUCAAACUCUUAAGUUGUGCAAUUCAGUGCUACACUGACAACAUGACACACAAAGAGGCCAAAGCUUGGCUUACACUUCCUGAUUUCUGUUCUUUUUACUUUGCCCCAUUCUGAGAAAAAUGCCAUUUUCUAAAUUACAUUUAGAUGAUGAUGAUGUUUCUAAGAUGUAUUCAAAGAUGCAUAUUAUCUACUUUUUAAUUACUGUUGUUCUUUAUAUUUUACUUUCCUAUGCAUUUUUCUGAUUGCAUUGUACAAGUUAUGAUGUUGCUAAAAUACACAAAAUAAACAUUUGGCUUCCUUUCAAAUAUAA
Long non-coding RNA from Sardina pilchardus (European sardine), 793 nucleotides. RefSeq lists it as uncharacterized. Lineage: Eukaryota; Metazoa; Chordata; Actinopteri; Clupeiformes; Clupeidae. The transcript has 4 exons. The record is from RefSeq and is a predicted model, not a curated record.